This 512-nucleotide ribosomal RNA is filed under the name uncultured soil bacterium. RNAcentral's name for it is "bacterial SSU rRNA". It matches the Rfam family "Bacterial small subunit ribosomal RNA", at positions 26 to 528 of the family's 1533-position model. The record is from RNAcentral.
AGAUUGAACGCUGGCGGCAUGCUUUACACAUGCAAGUCGAACGGGCGUGUUGGGGCAACCUGGCAGUCAGUGGCGAACGGGUGAGUAAUGCAUCGGAACGUGUCCCGUAGUGGGGGAUAACCCGGCGAAAGCCGGACUAAUACCGCAUAUGCUCUGAGGAGGAAAGUGGGGGAUCCGCAGGGACCUCACGCUAUGGGAGCGGCCGAUGUCCGAUUAGCUUGUUGGUGAGGUAAAGGCUCACCAAGGCGACGAUCGGUAGCUGGUCUGAGAGGAUGAUCAGCCACACUGGGACUGAGACACGGCCAGACUCCUACGGGAGGCAGCAGUGGGAAUUUGGACAAUGGGGCAACCUGAUCCAGCCAUGCCGCGUGCGGGAAGAAGGCCUUCGGUUGUAACCGCUUUAGUCGGAAGAAACGGCGUCUACGUUAAGUACGGGUCGUUACGUUGACGGUACCGGCGGAAGUAACGCGACCGCUAACGUACGUCGUCCACGCACGCCGACGGUAACUCGU